RNAcentral lists this ribosomal RNA (565 nucleotides) under Peltophryne longinasus (Cuban long-nosed toad). Its description in RNAcentral is "partial 16S ribosomal RNA". It matches the Rfam family "Bacterial large subunit ribosomal RNA", at positions 1819 to 2597 of the family's 2925-position model. The record is from RNAcentral. Lineage: Eukaryota; Metazoa; Chordata; Amphibia; Anura; Bufonidae.
CGCCUCUUGAACUAAUAUAAGAGGUCCAGCCUGCCCAGUGACCAUGUUUAACGGCCGCGGUAUCCUAACCGUGCGAAGGUAGCGUAAUCACUUGUUCUUUAAAUGAGGACUAGUAUGAACGGCAUCACGAGGGUUAUACUGUCUCCUUUUUCCAAUCAGUGAACCUAAUCUCCCCGUGAAGAAGCGGGAAUAAAAUUAUAAGACGAGAAGACCCUAUGGAGCUUAAAACAACACAGCACCUGCUAAAAAUCAAACAAUUUCAGAAUUUUUCAUUUUCUAAGCACUAUGACUACAAGUUUUUGGUUGGGGUGACCACGGAGCAUAAUAUAACCUCCAUGUUGAAAGAAUAUUUUUCUAAGCCAAAAAUUACACUUUUAAGCAUCAAUAAAUUGACAUCUAUUGACCCAAUAUAUUUGAACAACGAACCAAGUUACCCUAGGGAUAACAGCGCAAUCCACUUCAAGAGCUCCUAUCGACAAGUGGGUUUACGACCUCGAUGUUGGAUCAGGGUUUCCCAGUGGUGCAGCCGCUACUAAAGGUUCGUUUGUUCAACGAUUAAAACCCU